RNAcentral lists this ribosomal RNA (164 nucleotides) under Planchonella pohlmaniana. RNAcentral describes it as "5.8S ribosomal RNA". It matches the Rfam family "5.8S ribosomal RNA". Rfam says of the family: 5.8S ribosomal RNA (5.8S rRNA) is a component of the large subunit of the eukaryotic ribosome. It is transcribed by RNA polymerase I as part of the 45S precursor that also contains 18S and 28S rRNA. The record is from RNAcentral. Lineage: Eukaryota; Viridiplantae; Streptophyta; Magnoliopsida; Ericales; Sapotaceae.
UAACGACUCUCGGCAACGGAUAUCUCGGCUCUCGCAUCGAUGAAGAACGUAGCGAAAUGCGAUACUUGGUGUGAAUUGCAGAAUCCCGUGAACCAUCGAGUCUUUGAACGCAAGUUGCGCCCGAAGCCAUUAGGCCAAGGGCACGUCUGCUUGGGCGUCUCACA